Molecule: ribosomal RNA, 2889 nt
Filed under: Elusimicrobiota bacterium
Lineage: Bacteria; Pseudomonadati; Elusimicrobiota
Description: bacterial LSU rRNA
Rfam family: Bacterial large subunit ribosomal RNA
Source: RNAcentral
AGGGCAUACAGUGGAUGCCUAGGUAUCGGGAGGCGAUGAAGGGCGUGGUUAACUGCGAUAAGCCCCGGGUAGGAGUAAACAUCCUUUGAUCCGGGGAUUCCCGAAUGGGGAAACCCGAUUCCGUAAACCGGAAUCAGCUGUGUCUGAAUACAUAGGGCAUAGCGGCGAACCGGGUGAACUGAAACAUCUAAGUAACCCGAGGAAGAGAAAACAACCGUGAUUCCCCCAGUAGUGGCGAGCGAAAGGGGAAGAGCCCAAAUCCCUUAGGAUGUUAAAGACUGCGAUCGUUGUCUUAGGGGAGGUUGCGGGGCGCAGCCGUUAUUCCUUCGCAGAGGAAUAGAGUAAUCUGCUGUAUCUAGUUGAAGCGUACUGGAAAAGGCGCACCAGAGAGGGUGACAGUCCCGUAAGCGAAAGAUAUAACAGAACUCAGGCAGCGUUCCCGAGUAGGGCGGGGCCCGAGAAACCCCGUCUGAAUCCGGAAGGACCACCUUCCAAGGCUAAAUACUACCCGAUGACCGAUAGUGAACCAGUACCGUGAGGGAAAGGCGAAAAGAACCCCGGGAGGGGAGUGAAAUAGAACCUGAAACUGUGUGCCUACAAGCGGUGGGAGCCCUAUGGGUCCUGCAGUCUUCGCAUUCUUCGGAAUCCGGAGACGGGGAUCAACGGGUGACCGCGUGCCUUUUGCAUAAUGAACCGGCGAGUUAUAGGAUGCAGCGAGGUUAAGUUCUUUAAGGGACGGAGCCGUAGCGAAAGCGAGUCUUAAACGGGCGAUCAAGUUGCAUUUUAUAGACCCGAAACCAGGUGAUCUAUCCAUGGACAGGGUGAAGGCGUUGUAACAGGCGCUGGAGGCCCGAACUGAUGAACGUUGAAAAGUUCUUGGAUGAUCUGUGGAUAGUGGUGAAAGGCCAAUCAAACCUGGUAAUAGCUGGUUCUCCCCGAAAUAGCUUUAGGGCUAGCCUGGCAGCUUAAGCAGCGGUGGUAGAGCACUGGAUAGAAUACAGGGGGGCAACCUCUUGUAUCUAACCAAACUCCGAAUGCUGCUGUGUAUGCUGCUGGAGUCAGACUGCGGGGGAUAAGCUCCGUGGUCUAAAGGGAAACAGCCCAGACCAUACGCUAAGGUCCCUAAAUGUAAGCUGAGUGCAUCAAAGGAAGUGGGGUUACUCAGACAGAUAGGAGGUUAGCUUAGAAGCAGCUACCCUUUAAAGAGUGCGUAACAGCUCACUAUUCAAGCGACCCUGCGCCGAAAAUUUGCGGGGCUAAGCUUACUGCCGAAGCGAUGGAUUUCGUUCUUCUACGGAGGAACGGAGUGGUAGGGGAGCGUUCUGUUGUAGGUUGAAGGUCUACCGUAAGGAGGGCUGGACGAAGCAGAAGCGAGAAUGCCGGUAUGAGUAGCGAAAAUAAGGUGAGAAUCCUUAACGCCGAAAACCUAAGGUUUCCUGAGUAAAGUAACUCUUCUCAGGGUUAGUCGGUCCUAAGGCGAGGCCGAAAGGCGUAGUCGAUGGACAACAGGUUAAUAUUCCUGUACCGCCUGCAGCGCGUUAACAGCCGUAGAGAGACGCAUUGGGGCAGACCAUCCUCCUGCUGAAAUAGGAGGUCUAACCCGGCGAAAGCCGGGGAAUGGGACCCGGCGGCUUCGGCCAACGGGGAACUGGUUCAUCCCGGUGACAGGAAAAUCUCUAUAGGUGAGUUCUGCAGGUGUCCGUACCGCAAACCGACACAGGUAGGUGGGGAGAGAAUCCUAAGGCGUGCGAGCAAACUCUCGUUAAGGAACUCGGCAAAUUAGCCCCGUAACUUCGGGAGAAGGGGUGCCUCCGCAAGGAGGUUGCAGUGACCAGGCUUGGGCGACUGUUUAUCAAAAACACAGGCCUCUGCUAACACGUAAGUGGAUGUAUAGGGGCUGACGCCUGCCCGGUGCUGGAAGGUUAAGGGGACGUGUUAGCCUGAACUGAUUUAUCAGAUCAGGCGAAGCUCAGAACCGAAGCCCCAGUAAACGGCGGCCGUAACUAUAACGGUCCUAAGGUAGCGAAGUUCCUUGUCAGGUAAGUUCUGACCUGCACGAAUGGCGCAACGCUCCGAGCACUGUCUCGACGAGAGACUCGGCGAAAUUGUAGUAUCGGUGAAGAUACCGAUUACCUGCAGCGGGACGGAAAGACCCCGGCACCUUUACUGUAACUUAACAUUGGGUUAUAAUUUGGAAUGUAGAGAAUAGGUGGGAGGCUUUGAAGCCAGGACGCAAGUCCUGGUGGAGCCGCCCCUGGAAUACCACCCUUUCCAAGUUGUAAUUCUAACCUGCUGCCGUUAUCCGGCAGGGGAACAGUGUUUGGUGGGCAGUUUGACUGGGGCGGUUGCCUCCUAAAAUGUAACGGGGGCGCCCAAAGGUUCUCUCAGGACGUAUAAAAGUCGUCCGUAGAGCGCAAAGGUAUAAGAGAGCUUAACUGCGAGACAUACAGGUCAAGCAGGUGGGAAACCAGGGCUUAGUGAUCCGGCGGUUCCAUGUGGAAGGGCCGUCGCUCAUCGGAUAAAAGGUACGCCGGGGAUAACAGGCUUAUCUCCCCCAAGAGUUCAUAUCGACGGGGAGGUUUGGCACCUCGAUGUCGGCUCAUCGCAUCCUGGGGCUGGAGUAGGUCCCAAGGGUUGGGCUGUUCGCCCAUUAAAGCGGUACGCGAGCUGGGUUCAGUCCGUCGUGAGACAGGGCGGUCCCUAUCUGCUGCAGGCGUAGGAUAUCUGAGGAGAGCUGACCUUAGUACGAGAGGACCGGGUUGGACAGACCUCUAGUGUACCAGUUGUCCCGUCAGGGGCACCGCUGGGUAGCUAUGUCUGGAAGGGAUAACCGCUGAAAGCAUAUAAGCGGGAAGCCCACUCCAAGAUAAGAUAUCCCCUCUGUAUCCU